AAAGUCAUUUGAUGGUGGCUCAAGGUCAUUGGACAGGGGAAAAAACCUUCUGAAUGGCACAGGUCCAAAUUUCAACAGCAGCAAGUCGUGUGAUGGAACCAAAGACAAUGAGACUGAGAAUAGUUCCUGGAAAGCAAGUCAAGUUGAAAAAAGCAAUGACACACAAGUGACAGAAACAGAAGACACUAUACCUGGAAUAUUAUAUGAUUUGCUGCAAAAGGAAGUAGUUGCUUUGAGGAAAGCAGGUCAUGAGAAGGAUCAGAGUCUUAAAGACAAGGAUGACGCCAUUGAGAUGUUAGCUAAGAAAGUGGAGACUUUAACAAAAGCCAUGGAGGUUGAGGCUAAAAAAAUGAGAAGGGAGGUUGCUGCCAUG
RNAcentral lists this unclassified non-coding RNA (373 nucleotides) under Hevea brasiliensis (rubber tree). The record is from RNAcentral. Lineage: Eukaryota; Viridiplantae; Streptophyta; Magnoliopsida; Malpighiales; Euphorbiaceae.